This is a long non-coding RNA of Microtus ochrogaster (prairie vole), 641 nucleotides long. RefSeq lists it as uncharacterized. Lineage: Eukaryota; Metazoa; Chordata; Mammalia; Rodentia; Cricetidae. The record is from RefSeq and is a predicted model, not a curated record. The transcript has 3 exons.
AGCGUCUCACGGAACCCAGCUGCCUUUGAACUUACCGUGUUGCCGCCAAGCACGACCCUGGACUGCUCCUCUACCUCCAAGGGCCAGAAUUGCAGAUGGUGCCCACCACACCUGGUUCUGAACUCCGUGCACACGAGCAGCUCCACCACAUCCCCUCGGAUGACCUCCAAAGUGUCCUCCUCAGAUGUCUCCUGGCCACUGCGGCCGGCUAGCUCUCGAGAACAAACUAGAACGCAAGCAUCAAUGGACCAUCAUGAUGGCAUCCCCUACUCGUCGUCCCAGUUAGCUCACGCGACACCACAGCUAUCAAACCCUUCAAUGGGCUUCCCUGAUGUUUAGAUGACCAAAGCUUCAAUUUCCACCGCAACUCAGCUGACUGACACAAUUCACUAACUUCAAGCUGCAUGGCUUCAAAAUGGAAAAAGCAGUGAUCAACAUGAUCAGGAUGAGAAAGGAUUUCCAAGCGCCUACUGCUGAUCACGGGGCAGCCCCAGUGCACCACGGCUCCUUUACAAACCCCACAAAGGUGGCUUGGUUUAAAGGAGCUGAAUGUGGUGAUGCACAACUCCCAGCAUCUGAAGACUGAGGCAGGAGGAUUGCCAUGAGUUUGAGGCCAGCCAGGACUACAUGGUAAGUUUCAU